This is a regulatory RNA element of 103 nucleotides. It matches the Rfam family "Alpha operon ribosome binding site". Rfam says of the family: The bacterial alpha operon ribosome binding site is surrounded by this complex pseudoknotted structure. Translation of the mRNA produces 4 ribosomal protein products, one of which (S4) acts as a translational repressor by binding to the nested pseudoknot region. The record is from Rfam.
GUGGUUAUGCCGCUGCGUAUCCUAAACGGGCUCUGCAGCGGUUCUUCUUGAAAAGUACUAGGAGUGAAUAGUGGCCCGUAUAGCAGGCAUUAACAUUCCUGAU